Molecule: small RNA, 127 nt
Filed under: Marmota monax (woodchuck)
Lineage: Eukaryota; Metazoa; Chordata; Mammalia; Rodentia; Sciuridae
Source: RNAcentral
GCUGGGUGCAGUGGUGUGUGCCUGUGAUUCCAGUAACUGGGGAGGCUGAGGCAGGAGGAUCACAAGUUCAAAGCCAGUCUCAGCAACCUAGUAAGACACUCAGCAAUUCAGUGAGACCCUGUCUCUA